This 548-nucleotide ribosomal RNA is filed under the name Lactifluus multiseparatus. RNAcentral describes it as "Lactifluus sp. 14 HL-2019 partial large subunit ribosomal RNA". The record is from RNAcentral. Lineage: Eukaryota; Fungi; Basidiomycota; Agaricomycetes; Russulales; Russulaceae.
AACUGCGAGUGAAGCGGGAAAAGCUCAAAUUUAAAAUCUGGUGGUCUUUGACCGUCCGAGUUGUAAUUUAGAGAAGCGUCUUCCGCGCCAGACCGUGCACAAGUCUCCUGGAAUGGAGCGUCAUAGAGGGUGAGAAUCCCGUCUUUGGCACGGAACCCCUGGUGCUUUUGUGAUGCGCUCUCAAAGAGUCGAGUUGUUUGGGAAUGCAGCUCAAAAUGGGUGGUGAACUCCAUCUAAAGCUAAAUAUUGGCGAGAGACCGAUAGCGAACAAGUACCGUGAGGGAAAGAUGAAAAGCACUUUGGAAAGAGAGUGAAACAGUACGUGAAAUUGUUGAAAGGGAAACGCUUGGAGUCAGUCGCGUCGGCCAAGACUCAGCCUUGCCUYGGCUUGGUGUACUUCUUGGYUGACGGGCCAGCAUCGAUUUCGUCCCUYAGAUAAUGGCRAGGGAAAGGUGGCACCUUURCRGGUGUGUUAUAGUCUCUYGUCGCAUGUGAGGGGUGGGAUCGAGGAACUCAGCACGCACCUUUUGGUGUCGGGGCUUCGGCCC